Non-coding RNA from Pelobates cultripes (western spadefoot toad), 292 nucleotides. The record is from the annotation of a GenBank genome assembly. NCBI's taxonomy places the organism in Eukaryota, Metazoa, Chordata, Amphibia, Anura, Pelobatidae.
GGACAUACUGGUGGUGUCAUCUGUCAGUCUCAGAGAGACUUUUUGUACAACAGCUGUGUUGUAGUUCUUAUCCAAAGUACAUAAAGAUGCAAAGAGACUCCAGGGAGACCAACUGAAGUUGGUACUGACUAUUUUCCAACUGCUAGCUAUUUUUAUUGAUCAGUUUUUACAGCUACUAGUGACUGAGAGUCCAUCCUUUUUUAAAUUCAGGAUGAGAGGCUUACAUCUAAUGAUUGGUUAGUAACUUUAGGUGUAUGUAGCCUAUAUACUUCCAUUCCCCAUAGAGAAGGCU